UACGUAGGGCGCAAGCGUUGUCCGGAAUCAUUGGGCGUAAAGCGCGUGUAGGCGGCUCGAUAAGUCUGCUGUGAAAGUCCAGGGCUCAACCCUGGGAUGCCGGUGGAUACUGUCGAGCUCGAGUCCGGAAGAGGCGAGUGGAAUUCCUGGUGUAGCGGUGAAAUGCGCAGAUAUCAGGAGGAACACCAAUGGCGAAGGCAGCUCGCUGGGACGUAACUGACGCUGAGGUGCGAAAGCGUGGGGAGCAAACAGG
RNAcentral lists this ribosomal RNA (253 nucleotides) under uncultured bacterium. Its description in RNAcentral is "partial 16S ribosomal RNA". It matches the Rfam family "Bacterial small subunit ribosomal RNA", at positions 524 to 776 of the family's 1533-position model. The record is from RNAcentral.